Molecule: long non-coding RNA, 3411 nt
Organism: Salvelinus fontinalis (brook trout)
Lineage: Eukaryota; Metazoa; Chordata; Actinopteri; Salmoniformes; Salmonidae
Exons: 5
Source: RefSeq, a predicted model, not a curated record
GUGGGGAGUGUGUGACUGGUCAGGCACCGUGUUAUGCAGUGAUGCGCACGGUGUCUCCAGUGCACAUUCAUAGCCCGAUGCGCUCUAUUCCAGCUCCCCGCAUUUGCCGCGCUAGAAUGGGCAUCCAGCCAGGACGGGUUGUGCCGGCUCAGUGCUCCUUGUCUCCAGUACACCUCUUCGGACCAGGAUAUCCUGCGCCAGCUCUACGUACUCUAUCGCCAGUACGCCUUCACAGCCCAGUCACACACAGCCCAGUGUGUCCUGUCCCAGCGCCCCGCACUUAUCGAGCUAAAGUGAGCAUCCAGCCAGGAUUCAUUGUGUCAGCUCUAUGCUCCAAAUCUCCAGUGCGCAUCCACAGUCCAGUACGUCCUGUGCCUCUUCCCCGCACUCGCCCUGAGGUGCGUGUCAUCAGCCCGGUGCCACCGGUACCGGUCACAUGCAUCAAGCCUCCAGUGCGCCUCCACAGUUUCCCGGCGACAGUCUCCAGUCCAGAGCUUCCGGCGACAGUCCCCAGUCUAGAGCUUCCGGCGACAGUUCCCAGUCCAGAGCUUCCGGCGACGUUUCGGAACCUCCACCUACGGGCCAUGGUCCGGAACCUGCAACGACGAUCUACGGUCCGGUUCCUCCGGCAACGAUCCACGGUCCGGAGCCUCCGGAGACGACCCACGGUCCGGAGCUUCCAGAGCUGCGUCCAGAACCAGAGCCGCCACCAAGGGUAGAUGCCCACCCGGACCCUCCCCUAUAGGUUCAGGUUUGCGGCCGGAAGUCCGCACCUUUGGGGGGGGGGGGGGGUACUGUCAAGCCCUGACCUUAGAUAUCUCUGUAUGUCUAGGGGUGUUGUCAUCUAGGUGUAUUGUAUGUCUAUGUUGGCCUGAUAUGGUUCCCAAUCAGAGACAGCUGUUUAUCGUUGUCUCUGAUUGGGGAUCAUAUUUAGGUAGCCAUUUUCCUUGUUUGUGUUGUGGGAUCUUGUCUACUGUAAGUUGCCUUUGUGCACUCCAGUAGCUUCACGUUUCGUUUGUGCUUUUUGUUUGUUUUGUUUAGUGAGUUUCUCUUUAUUAAAAUUAUGUGGAACUCAAUGCCCGCUGCGCCUUGGUCUCCUCUUUACGACGAUCGUGACACUGCAAUAUUAAGCUGAUCUACCACCUAAAAUAUAUAUUCUUAAUAAUCUGGUCAGACAAGAUUAAUAAUAGGAAUGCAGUCAUCCCUCCAUUUCCUUACCACGCAGGGAGGAGGAGCUCUACCUAAACAGGACAUGAGAGUAGAUAGCUCCAAACGACUUCACUGACAUUGACCUUAAAGGUUAAGAAGAAAACAGACAGGAUAAUUGGCACUUAUCAGAAUGGUUGUUACACUGCACUCAUUGCUCUUCUGUUUAUCCUUCACACUGUAAAUGGACAGACUACUACAGGUAGGUAGAGCACACACACAUACCGUAGAUUAACCUUUUCUUACAUGACAAUUUAGUCAAGGACUUCAAUACAAAAUGUCAUGUUAACAUUUUAGCCAUUUUAGUCUUGUACUGUACACUGGUUAUCCCAUAUCUACGUGAGGAUAAAACAUUCCUAAACAGUACUGUUGAUAAUAAAUAUGACACAAAUAAAUUGAAUAGGCUUUCCAGUCCAUUUAUAUAUUGUUUUGCAAAACCUUUCUCAACUCUUCUGCAUAAAUGACUCCAAUUUGUCUUGCUGUUUGUCCUCUGAGUACAGCAACUCCACCAUCGAGCACUACUGAUCCACCAUUGAGCUCAGCAGCAACUCCACCAUCGAGCACUACUGAUCCACCAUUGAGCUCAGCAGCCCCACAGUCAAGUGGGACUCCUGUCCAACAAACGAGGUCAAAUGAUCCACUGUCAAGCUCAACAGCCACUUCAUCCUCAACAACUUCACCAUCAGAUACAACAGCUUCAUCAGUUGGUUUAACACCCUCGUCAACACCCUCACUGAUUGGUGCCUCAUUUCCAGUGUCAAACACAGACAACCCUACAUCUAUUGUUUGAUGCCUCAACAGCCAAAUGCAACAGCUCUGCCAUCAAAUGUAACAACUCCAUCUACCAAUACAAGCUCUCAAAGUGCAUGGACAACUCUGGCCACUACAGGCGGGUCAUUCAAUACCACUCAAUAUCACUUUGGCAAUUUGUUGACACCAUUUCCUGGGAUUAGUGGAACUAGCCCAGUUUCUCUGGUGGCUCCAUUCUCAAGUCAGUUUCUCUGCAAUGCAUCAGAUAAAAUAAAUUAUGAAUCAAAUCCUGCUGUAAAUAUAACUACCAUAUACUUGAAUUAUUGUCCCAUCAUUUUAAAAUGUUCCUUUUUUGAAAAUUCUGAAUAAAUGAUAACUGAUUACAAACUUUACAUUCAAUAGCAAGGUAAAGUACACCUAUGCUUUUAACAUAUUUUCAUACUUGUUUUUAUAUGUUUGCAUUCUAGGGAAAUGUUCUUCAAAUCCACCUCUGUGUUGUCUUGGGCUCAAAAAUUCCUGUUUCAGUGAUGUGGCCUGUAUAAGGUUGAAGGAUUGCUGCCCAGAAUUCCGGACUACUUGUGUGACAGGUGUGCAGAUUGGAUCAGCCACGGUGUCCCCAGUCUCCAACGCAACCAAUUCCACUUCCACAUCAUUCCCAGUGUUCUCAUUUCCAGGAAAUUGUUCUGCACGGCCGGCCUUGUGCUGUAAAGGCACCAAUGUGAAUUGCUUCAGAGGGUCCUUCUGUGAUGAGGUUUGUCAGACUCUAAAUGACUGCUGUCCUGACUAUGCAGAUACCUGCACAAAAGACAUUCAGAAGGUGAUUGGUAGUGGAAUGAUAUCCAUUCUUGCUCCACCCAAUUCAACUGAUGCGUCUCUUGAAGUGUCUAUUCAGAAUGCUGCAUUACAGCUGUAGACCUAUCUCAAGACAACAUACACUGAAAUCAGCACCUUCAGAAUCAUCAAACUUAAGAAGACCGGAAAGACUUCAUUUGUAAAUCUGCUCAAACACAUCAGAAAUAUGUAAUUAGGUUGCAUUUUUCUUUCUCUCUGUUUGAUGAAACGAAACAUAAUUGAUUAUAUUACAACGUAAAGCACUUGUUAUAGAUACUUCUAAUGUAUAUCUGGUUUGACGGGUACUAUGUGGGAAAACAAUAAUAUGUUAAUUGUAUUGGUCGCAUACACAUAUUUAUCAGAUGUUAUUGUGGGUGGUGUGAAAUGCUUGUGUACAGAGAAAUGCUUUGCACGGCUGUCUGUGGAUGAGAUGGGUCUUUAAUGUAAUUUCUCAAAUAAAUUGUCAGACUUAUUGGACUAAACAUUGAACAUGAAAUGAAUCAUACAAUACUGUUCCUCCCUGAACAAGCAGGAAGUUGCCAGUAGAGGUCAUAGUAACACAGUUUUCCAUUGCAUGAUGCUUUCCUUGCCUUUCUCCUGUAUAGAAUAAACCACCUUUCUUGA